AUGCACGCUGGCGGCGUGCCUAAUACCUGCAAGUCGAGCGAACAGAUGAGGAGCUUGCUCCUCUGACGUUAGCGGCGGACGGGUGAGUAACACGUGGAUAACCUACCUAUAAGACUGGGAUAACUUCGGGAAACCGGAGCUAAUAUCGGAUAAUAUAUUGAACCGCAUGGUUCAAUAGUGAAAGACGGUUUUGCUGUCACUUAUAGAUGGAUCCGCGCCGCAUUAGCUAGUUGGUAAGGUAACGGCUUACCAAGGCAACGAUGCGUAGCCGACCUGAGAGGGUGAUCGGCCACACUGGAACUGAGACACUGUCCAGACUCCUACGGGAGGCAGCAGUAGGGAAUCUUCCGCAAUGGGCGAAAGCCUGACGGAGCAACGCCGCGUGAGUGAUGAAGGUCUUCGGAUCGUAAAACUCUGUUAUUAGGGAAGAACAAAUGUGUAAGUAACUAUGCACGUCUUGACGGUACCUAAUCAGAAAGCCACGGCUAACUACGUG
RNAcentral lists this ribosomal RNA (496 nucleotides) under uncultured bacterium. Its description in RNAcentral is "partial 16S ribosomal RNA". It matches the Rfam family "Bacterial small subunit ribosomal RNA", at positions 29 to 507 of the family's 1533-position model. The record is from RNAcentral.